Molecule: ribosomal RNA, 914 nt
Filed under: uncultured bacterium
Lineage: Bacteria
Description: bacterial SSU rRNA
Rfam family: Bacterial small subunit ribosomal RNA
Source: RNAcentral
AGCAGCCGCGGUAAUACGUAGGGGGCAAGCGUUGUCCGGAAUCACUGGGCGUAAAGGGCGCGUAGGCGGCCUAAGAAGUCGCAGGUGAAAUCCCACGGCUUAACCGUGGAACUGCCUGCGAAACCAUUGGGCUUGAGAACAGGAGAGGGAAGCGGAAUUCCUGGUGUAGCGGUGAAAUGCGUAGAUAUCAGGAGGAACACCAGUGGCGAAGGCGGCUUCCUGGCCUGGUUCUGACGCUGAGGCGCGAAAGCUGGGGGAGCAAACAGGAUUAGAUACCCUGGUAGUCCCAGCUGUAAACGAUGGGCACUAGGUGUUGGGGGGCUCAUACCCUUCAGUGCCGCAGGUAACCCAAUAAGUGCCCCGCCUGGGGAGUACGGUCGCAAGACUGAAACUCAAAGGAAUUGACGGGGGCCCGCACAAGCGGUGGAGCAUGUGGUUUAAUUCGAUGCAACGCGAAGAACCUUACCAGGGUUUGACAUGCCGGUGGUACGGAGUGGAAACACGAAGGACCCUUCGGGGAGCCGGUACAGGUGGUGCAUGGUUGUCGUCAGCUCGUGCCGUGAGGUGUUGGGUUAAGUCCCGCAACGAGCGCAACCCUUGCUUUCAGUUGCCAGCGGGUUAAGCCGGGCACUCUGGAGGGACUGCCGUCGACAAGGCGGAGGAAGGUGGGGAUGACGUCAAAUCAUCAUGCCCUUUAUACCCUGGGCUACACACGUGCUACAAUGGCCGAUACAGAUGGCAGCUAAUUGGUGACAAGGAGCAAAUCUCAAAAAGCCGGUCCAAGUUCGGAUUGCAGGCUGCAACUCGCCUGCAUGAAGUUGGAAUCGCUAGUAAUCGCAGGUCAGCAUACUGCGGUGAAUGCGUUCCCGGGCCUUGUUCGCACCGCCCGUCACACCAUGGAAGUUGGUUCUACC